This 1375-nucleotide unclassified non-coding RNA is filed under the name Hevea brasiliensis (rubber tree). Lineage: Eukaryota; Viridiplantae; Streptophyta; Magnoliopsida; Malpighiales; Euphorbiaceae. The record is from RNAcentral.
GGUCAAGUCAUUUCCAGGGAAUGAUUAGAGUUUUGGUAAAGUGGAAGGAAUAAUGAAAAUCCUUUGUUGCAUUGGUUUGAUUUUUCCCCCAUUGGUAUGCUGAUAAAGCUAGGAUAGAGAAAAUAACUCUCAUUGCAAUUGGUAUGUUUUUAUGUUACUUUGAUCUAAAAUUCAGUUCAAGUGACCUGAUGUUGAGGACAGAUUUGAAUAGAUCAAAACAAAUGAAGACUCUUAAUAUUUAGAUUUUUCUUUUGUGGAUUUUUAUUUCUUCAUUUAGAUUCGGUAAAUAUGUUUAUUUCCUUAAGGAUGUUGAAAUUUUGGGUUAAUAAAUGUUGGAUAUUUUAUACUUGUUAGCAAUACUUGCAUGUUUAUUUGGGUUGAACCGAAAGAAGAACAGUGAGGAUGGAAGUAAGGAAUGCAAGAAUACGGAGGGAAAAUAUUAUCCAAUCUACAAAGUACAAUUUUGGUGAAGUUGUAUGUUAUACCUUAGACAUAUUUUCAAUCUCUAAGAAAAUCAUUUAAUUGUUUCAGUAUCACAUAACAUCUUUAAUUGGCUUUAUGAAUGCAAAUGAGGUUUAGGAAAAUAUAUGAUGGGUAGGAGACUGACAGAUAAACUUGAAUUAAGUUUAGAACUUAUUGCAAAGGUUUACUGGUGUUGCAUGAAAGGCAUCACUGUGGGGGACAUUUUAUAGGUUGCAGUUUCUUUUAAUGGUUGUUUUUGUGUCUAUAUUGUAGUGGAAGAGGUUCUUAAUCUUGUAUCCUCUGUAAAGAAACUGAAGGACGUGUUUGCAGUUCAAAAGAUUGAGGUAUUCUUUUGGUUGCAGGUCCUAUAGAAGGCUUUGGAGGUGUGGGAUUUACAAGUCAUUCCCUUAGCAGUCCAGUUGCGGAGCCUGCACAGAUUGACCAUGAUCUGGAAAAUGCAUUUAUUUGUCUUUUGCAAGAUCAUUGGUUCUGCAUAAGGAAAGUGAAUGCGGGGUGGUAUAACUUUUGACAGUCUUUAUGCUGCCCCACAGCACCUGUCUAAGUUUCACCUUGCGGUCUAUCUGGAUUCUCUUAAGAGCUCUGGCUGUAGCAUUUUUUUGGUGCGAGGAAACUUCCCAAAACAGUUUCUUAUCUCAUCAUCUGAAGCUUCAAAUGGUUAUGGGCAGUGGCUCUCCUGAAGAUGCCGAGAGGAUUACCAAAUCCUGUAACUCGACUUUGGGUUCUUGGAGAAUCAAUUCGACUCAACAACAUUCAGAGCCGGCUGAAGACAUGCUUACAGAAUUUGAAGAUGAAGAUGUGAAAGCUGCAAUAGCGGCCAGCUUGAUGGAUUCUUCCCAAGACAAGGCUAGGGUUGAAGUUGGCAGUACUGAAAAUGAUAAUAAAGAAGGGGAAG